This 406-nucleotide ribosomal RNA is filed under the name Micrococcus sp. Its description in RNAcentral is "bacterial SSU rRNA". It matches the Rfam family "Bacterial small subunit ribosomal RNA", at positions 331 to 749 of the family's 1533-position model. The record is from RNAcentral. Lineage: Bacteria; Bacillati; Actinomycetota; Actinomycetes; Micrococcales; Micrococcaceae.
UAAGACUCCUACGGGAGGCAGCAGUGGGGAAUAUUGCACAAUGGGCGAAAGCCUGAUGCAGCGACGCCGCGUGAGGGAUGACGGCCUUCGGGUUGUAAACCUCUUUCAGUAGGGAAGAAGCGAAAGUGACGGUACCUGCAGAAGAAGCACCGGCUAACUACGUGCCAGCAGCCGCGGUAAUACGUAGGGUGCGAGCGUUAUCCGGAAUUAUUGGGCGUAAAGAGCUCGUAGGCGGUUUGUCGCGUCUGUCGUGAAAGUCCGGGGCUUAACCCCGGAUCUGCGGUGGGUACGGGCAGACUAGAGUGCAGUAGGGGAGACUGGAAUUCCUGGUGUAGCGGUGGAAUGCGCAGAUAUCAGGAGGAACACCGAUGGCGAAGGCAGGUCUCUGGGCUGUAACUGACGCUGA